Molecule: ribosomal RNA, 256 nt
Filed under: uncultured bacterium
Lineage: Bacteria
Description: partial 16S ribosomal RNA
Rfam family: Bacterial small subunit ribosomal RNA
Source: RNAcentral
UAAUACGUAGGGAGCAAGCGUUAUCCGGAUUUAUUGGGUGUAAAGGGUGCGUAGACGGGAAAUUAAGUUAGUUGUGAAAUCCCUCGGCUUAACUGAGGAACUGCAACUAAAACUGAUUUUCUUGAGUGCUGGAGAGGAAAGUGGAAUUCCUAGUGUAGCGGUGAAAUGCGUAGAUAUUAGGAGGAACACCAGUGGCGAAGGCGACUUUCUGGACAGUAACUGACGUUGAGGCACGAAAGUGUGGGGAGCAAACAGG